CCCACAACCUCAACUCUCCAGUGUUCACUCUCUCAGAAUUGUCAACCCCCUCCCCAGUUGGGCCAGGGGAGGUAUUUAUAGCCUUCACUUGUUGUUAUUGGGCCUCGUGGGUUUGUACGGUCAGCCCCGUUCGUCCGCUCGUCCGCCCGCCCGUCCGUCCGCCUGGGCCGUCCGGUCCGGUUCGGUCCAUGGGCCGCGGUCCGCGGUCCAUGGUACCAACAGUAACUCUAUUCGUAACUGAAUUUACCUAGUCUAACAUUCAGAUCAGAGCAACUCCUGCAGUUUAUUUGUUAUCAUUAUACUUCUAUAUCCAAUUAAAAUUCCUUGUGUUUUCAUCCAGCUAUUUCAGCAAAUGUGUGUUACUCAUAUUUUGAAAAGUAAAAAAUAAACAAAUUCAAAUUCAAAUUAGAAAAUUAAUAUAAAUAAUUCCAACCUUACCUAUUUGAACUUAUAGCUUAAAUUUCAUUCGUAUUUGUCUUUAUAGUUUGAGAAAAAUAUCAUAUACGUGUGACAGCUUUAGAGAAAAUAUUCACAAUCUAUUGUGAAGAGGAAAUAUGUUUUAAACAGAUACAAAUUUUAACUACCGAUUCCUUGACGAAGUGAACAUCAAUAUCGAUAUGUUUUGAUCACUGAUUUUGAAGCCAUAAAAAUGAUUGAGUUGUUGUCACAAAAUAUUAUGGGUGUUGAGGUUAAUUUACA
This 699-nucleotide long non-coding RNA is filed under the name Zostera marina. RNAcentral describes it as "long non-coding RNA (ZMAR_LNC005612)". Lineage: Eukaryota; Viridiplantae; Streptophyta; Magnoliopsida; Alismatales; Zosteraceae. The record is from RNAcentral.